UGGGAAUUUUGGACAAUGGGCGCAAGCCUGAUCCAGCCAUGCCGCGUGCGGGAAGAAGGCCUUCGGGUUGUAAACCGCUUUUGUCAGGGAAGAAAUCUUCUGAGUUAAUACCUCGGGAGGAUGACGGUACCUGAAGAAUAAGCACCGGCUAACUACGUGCCAGCAGCCGCGGUAAUACGUAGGGUGCAAGCGUUAAUCGGAAUUACUGGGCGUAAAGCGUGCGCAGGCGGUUUUGUAAGACAGAGGUGAAAUCCCCGGGCUCAACCUGGGAACUGCCUUUGUGACUGCAAGGCUUGAGUGCGGCAGAGGGGGGAUGGAAUUCCGCGUGUAGCAGUGAAAUGCGUAGAUAUGCGGAGGAACACCGAUGGCGAAGGCAAUCCACUGGGCCUGCACUGACGCUCAUGCACGAAAGCGUGGGGAGCAAACAGGAUUAGAUACCCUGGUAGUCCACGCCCUAAACGAUGUCAACUGGUUGUUGGGGAAGGUUCCUUCUCAGUAACGUAGCUAACGCGUGAAGUUGACCGCCUGGGGAGUACGGCCGCAAGGUUGAAACUUAAAUGAAUUGACGGGGUCAUAGCUG
RNAcentral lists this ribosomal RNA (580 nucleotides) under uncultured bacterium. RNAcentral's name for it is "partial 16S ribosomal RNA". It matches the Rfam family "Bacterial small subunit ribosomal RNA", at positions 356 to 932 of the family's 1533-position model. The record is from RNAcentral.